Molecule: long non-coding RNA, 19227 nt
Filed under: Arabidopsis thaliana (thale cress)
Lineage: Eukaryota; Viridiplantae; Streptophyta; Magnoliopsida; Brassicales; Brassicaceae
Description: long non-coding RNA (ATHA_LNC000266)
Source: RNAcentral
GGGCAUCCAGUGAGAUUGAGGUACUCGAGAGAUUCCAAGUUGAGAUCGGUUGGAAAACUCUCUAGCUUUUUGCAAUCACUCAUAUCUAAAUAGAUCAGUUUAGUGGCAUUCUGAAUCGAGGAAGGAAGUGUCACCAAAGAUUUGCAUCCAACAAGAUCUAAUUCCUCGAGGUUUAUGGCUAAAGAAAGAUCUGGAAUUUCUUUCAAAUUGUUGGAAUACCUCAAAUUCAUCUCCUUGAGACUUCCAAGGGGCUGAAAACAAAAUAUGGAAAAAGAGAAUACACACGUUCACAAAUAUACCACAGUUCUGUUCUAAAAACUGACAACUAAUAAAAUUUAGAAUUCGUACCAGAGUUCCUUCCCACAGUUUCUCAAGCUUACUAUACUUCAUUAUGAGGUUAACUAGAUAUUCCGCCUUAAAAGUAGAUGGCAAAGACUUCAAUGGACAAUCAUCCCAGUCUAGCAAUCUGAGUUUAAGGGGCAAAUAAACGAGGCUCUGAGGUAGAUCCCCGUAAUAACCAAUUUCUAGAUAUUGCAGAUUACGCAUGCCUUUGAACGAUUCUUUAUCUAUUAAUAACGGCCUUGUCGAAAAAUAUUCCUCGAAUGGCAAACGUAUUCCAAGAAGAGUUUCUGUCCCCUGAAAAAAAAUCCGAAGAAAACUAAUAUAAUCUUAACAAUCGCAACCCUUUUUAAUUUUCUGACACAUCAAAGCUACAUUUUAAUUACGCAUGAGGCAACAAUUGCUUAAGUUUAUCAAUCCCCAAAUUACGAUUAUAUUAAUAUAAAGUCAUGCAUUCAAACGGAGCUGCGAAAAAAACUUACAGUUUUCUCGGUCACUACUUCAUGAAUAUCUUCAAAAUUCGUCAGAAAUCGACGUUUUCCAGGAUUACCCUUGGACUUUGCACGAUCAAUUUCUCUACCCAAUUUCUCUAGCAAAUUGUGCAUCUCUAUAUAUCCAUCCGGUGUAAUACGUAUGAGGGACUUCUCAGUCAACAUUGUAAACCCAACAUUAUCUUUAAGUAAAUCUUUGACGUAACUGACUUCAAAACCAUUGAAUAAACACGCGAUGUAAAGGAACAUAUCUUGAUCUUUUUGAUGUAAUCUAUCGUAGCUGACUCUUAAUGUUUUCAUAAUAUCUCCGUUCAAACCAUUUCGGAGCCUAGGCAUCAUCUCCAUCCACCAUUCUUUGGUCCUUCCCUUUAAAGACGAACCAAGGACACUAAGACCCAACGGAAGAUUACCGGCAAGCUUCGCAACUUCAAAUGCUAGUUCCUUAAAAUCAUCAGGUGGAGAGUCUUUCCCAAAAGCAGAUCGGCAUAACAUCGUAAGAGCAAGAUGUUCAGAUGGGAACUCCACCUCAUAUAUAAGGUCAAUCUCAUGAGCCUUGAGAAGUUGCCUAUCUUGAGUGAUCACAAUUAUUCUGCUUCCAGAUCCAAACCAUUCAGCUUUUCCCACCAAGGUCUUAAGAAACUCUAGACUAUCCACAUCAUCAAGAAGGAUAAGAACUUUCUGUUGCUUUAACCUUUGCUCCACCACACCAAAAUGCUCUAUCUUUAUGUCCUUUUGACCUAAGAUUUCCGAGAGAAGUUCUUUUUCCCACCUCAACUUCAUGCCAGAGACGUCACUACCGCUGGUGCUUUUAUAUGUUAUGAAAGCGCGAUGGUGGAACUGGAUAGAGAGUUUACUGUAAAGAGCUCUUCCUAUGGUACUCUUACCAAUCCCUGAUUGUCCCCAAAUCCCGACCAUUAUUCUAGCUUCCUUGGAUUCCAAGCACAAUACUGAUUUUAUUGCCUCUAUAUGAUUUUCAAUUCCGACUAAGUCGCCAAAAUCAUCCGAUGGUGUCAUAGUUUUUCUCAAAACAUCCUCGGCAAGCUCUUCAAUCAUGGCUGCUUCACUAGGCCUAAUAACAAUAGUCAACUGUUUCAUUAAAGAAGCAACGCAAAACAAAAAAAUCACGAAGUCUAUUCAUUGAAAUACCAUUUCCGAAGAUCAUAUCCGGCCAUAACUGCAACAGCUGCUAGAGCUUGCUUCCAACUUUGUUUCUCAUCCUCUGAUUUAGCCUUGCAUGUCUCUUCAAAGACCUUUCCAAAUUCGCCGGUCUGUUUUUUAACUUCCGAAGCAUCAACGUGGAAGAAAAUCGGAAUCACCAUUUGAUUCAAAUUCGUAUAACACUUGUGAAUCUCCACCAAUUCAUUCAGGCACCAGGUGGAUGAAGCAUAGUUCUUAGAGAAGAUAACGAUUGCUAUUCUCGAUUCUUUUAUUGCCGAUAAAAGCUCCGGGCCGAUUGAGCGGCUCCUCUCGAUCUCAUCAUCUAUGAAUGUGAUUGCUUUGCCCCUGAGCUCCUUGAGAAGAUGGCUGAGGAAUGAGUCACGGACAUCUUCUCCACGAAAGCUUGGGAAAACGUCGUAUCUCCGGCUGCCAGAAGAAGAAGCUAUCUCCAUAUCAUCAUCUUUGGAUGUAUCCAUCAUUUCACGGUCGAGCUCGAGCUCCUUGACAAGAUGGCCACGAAACAAUUUGCCGAAAUUUUCUCCACUGAAGCUCGCGAAAACAUUGUAUAUCCAUCUGAGAACAUUGUAUAUCUAUCUGAAGCAAGAAGACGCCAUGGCAGAGGAUGAGAGAGAAGAGACGAAAUUUCUCAAAGGAAAACUCUUUGAAGUAUAUCAAUAAUACAACACAGUAACAGAGAGGAGAAACUUGGUCUUCCUUUCCUCGAAGACUUGUAUAGAAGACUUACUAUACAAGAUAUUGUUUUAGUGGUUAAAAUCAAAUCCCAUUACAAGACAAUUGGGACAAAUAAUACGUAAACUUGGUCUUCCUUUCUUAGAAGACUUGCAUAGAAGACUUACUGUACAAGAUAUUUUUUUAGUGGUUGAAAAAUCAAAUCCCUAACAAGAUAAGGCCAUAAUUAUGUGAUACAGAAACUUCCCCUUCCUUUCCUUGGAAAGCUUCUACUCUAUAACGAUAAGUCAAUUUUGUGGCUAUCAGUCGUCACUGAAUUUAUCUAUGAUGAUGAGACGUAGCCAUUCUACAAGAUUUCAAGAUAAUUUCUAGGCAAAAUAGACAGAAACUUCCUCGAGAGCUACUUUUCCUCUCCACAGAUAUUUUUGAAGACCCAAAAUUUUGUGGCUGUCAGUGGUUCAAGACAGAAACAAGAUUUCAAUUUAUUUUAACAAUGUUAAGGUUCACUAAUAUCAAAAGUCUGGUUUUCCUAUUCAUACUGUACAUACAUGCAUGGAAAUUAGGAGAAUAAUUAGUAUAUCGAUUAUGAGGAUUAUAAUUCAACUAAUAAUACAGUGAAAACACUAACAACAAACUAUCUAGUUUUCUAGAGCUGUGUGGUGUGGACAGUGGAGAGAAUAUUUUCAUGUAAAGUUUUCUUGUUUACAUUUACAAUUGUAAUAUUAGUUUAGAGUUUUGGCUUACUGUGUCAGCAACCACUGUAGGCUGCGAUUGCAUUUGCUGCCGUUUAAGGAGCAUUUGGUUUCUAAGGGUAGGUUUCAUGUACUGGAUGGAAGAAGUCGUGCUUGAGAGCAUCCUCUGCACUGAUUCGCCGUCUCGGGUUAACGGUCAAACAUCUAUCAACGAGGUCAAGGAGCGACCAUGGAAUUGCAUCUAGAAACUCCAUGCGUUUUGGGUUGAGUUCGUACCAUUUUCUCAACUCCAUCCCUUUCAAGUACCUUGACUUGUACAAUUCCUGAAACAACAACACAAAAAUCAACCUGAACUCAUCUCUCACGAUCAUCUAUCUAAUAAUUUUGUCGGUAAUUUACAUUUUUAAGAUAUAUAAUGUUUUGGAACACAAAAUGCUAACAAUGAAAACCCUUUUGUGAUAUUUGAAUCCAAAUGCUGGCGGCAAAGAAGAACAGAACAUGUAUGUUAUGUUCACACCAAUGCAGUAAUCAAAUGAAUGGAGAGUUUACAAGGGAUGAAAGAUGAGAUUUUACCUCAUGUAAAGAGGAUUCACGGUUGUGCAGCUUGGCUACUUCCCAUAAUUCUUCACUGCCUCGUAGUUGCGCAAUGUCCUUUAUGUUCCUGGGAAUGACAAGGUCGUUGUAAGACGGCAAGAAAGAAGAAAAAAGUGGAACCGAGUGAUGGUGUAUUCAGUCAAGUCAGAUCUUAACUGUUCAGGGUCACCAGUGAGAGCUUUCCUUCCCAUUAUGAGGUAUAACAAAGUAACUCCCGCAGAACACACGUCUUUUUUUAGGUCCUUGGUCCAAAGACCAUUCAGCCGAGAACAGCCCUAGAGAAUUAGCUUUUCCAUCCCAUCCUAGAUGUGUUAAUGAGUAGCUCAGGGAACAAGAUAUUUUCAUAUGGAUUUAACUAGUAUCAAGGGAAGUGAUAUAUCUGCAGGAAAAAUGGCUUGUGUCAAAACAUAUGAAAUCGUCUUGCCAUUAUCAUUAUAGUCAUGCUCGGUCCCAAGUUAUCCUAAAACAGAGGAAAACCGAAUAAUAAGAUGCUUCAGUUACCAGAACCAGAAUUCAAGAUAGGAAUUUCUUCAUCUUGUUGUUCACUUAUCAUGGAAUCAACACACAAAGAUUCCCCCUCCAGAGAUGGAUAAGAAGAAACUGAUGAUGCUUCUCCCUGCCCUAACGAAAGCUCCAUAUUUAGAGCGGUCAAGCUUGUGUCCGCUACAAUUUGGACACAGGGUAAGUUGAUAUAUUCUUCAGAUGUUCCCGAUGUCAUCUGCAUCGUAAACCAAAGGAUCGAUUCUGUUAAAUAGUCUGUCACUAAGGUAUUGAUCCUGGAAAAUAUAAUAAAACAUCAAGAGAUAGCUUUGCAAUUUUCAGUUCUAAUUAUGUCAAAAGGCUUACCCGCAUCCGCUUAUUGCUUCUCGCAGUCUCUACAACAUCACAUUUUUCUCGAGACUGUUGGCUGUACUCUGUUUCAGAGCUUCCAUCACUAUCAUCUGGAAAUGGAGACACAUUCAAGAGUCGUAUACCACAUUCUUUUAUCCUCUUGGAGCAAGAAAAGUUAAACUCCACAUCGUUGAAAGUCAAUUUAGAUGGAAGAUCUUCAGGCUGGAAGUUGAAGGAACAGAAAACCAGAUGAUCCGUCUUACACAACCGCAGGUCUGCAUCUUUAAAAAAUGAUUUGCAAUACAGUGUCCCAUUGAAGCCAGCAUUUACCUCACAAUAUGGACCCCAACUCUUGCCCUCAGUUAGAAGGUCAACCACGAUGCAAGCCUUAAAGCAAGAAUACUUGAGAAAGAGAGCUCUAAGGUAAAGUGACAGUUAGGGAAUCUCCAUAAGCUCGAUGUUGAAAAUACGUUGGCACUUCUCCACCUGGUAAGGACAUAGGCUUGAACAAUGACCGUAAGAUGAGUUCUCGCGCAUCUCCAUCCAAUUUGCAGCAGUUCUGGAAGAGAUAAUGAAAGGCCCCGAUCCGGACUACCUAAGUCCGGACGAGAUCUCUCGACCCAAGUCACUAAGUGACUCGACCCAAGUCACUAAGUGACUCGACCCUAACCAUUUAUGAGGUUCAUUCCCUAGUGUAAUCCGUUUCAUACAAUUCUGUGAUUCAAUAUAUGAGACGAAUAGAGUAAACAAACAAUCGGAUACUUUAUUAAUUAAGUAAAGGAUUCGAUACAACUUAUGAGUUUGCAUAUAAGCUAUUACAAGUAAUUUAAUCGAUCCCUAGACUAUCCGAAACUAUCACCACCCAUCAUUCCGGCCUUGAGUCUCUCGCGCCUAAGCCAAGUCCUUCCCACUAUCACCAUUGGUUCCUGAAAGUCAUAGAGCCAUAAGUAAUUUCAUUUACUUAGUCAUAUGCAAGUCCAUGCAAUGCUCCAUAGUCCUUACACUACUCGGAUCCGCGGAGAGGAUUCGGAGAAGGGAAGAUCGCGCAUAAGUCCGGCCGAUUCUCGGUAGGUCAAUUAAGACCCGCCGGUCCUCCGCCGAGCCGCGUCUCCGCCCCAGCCGAUCCCUUGCCCGGACCGAGGCUUGUGUAGGUUGCACAUGACCCGAUUCUACCCAGCCCAUUAGUCGUUCCUUUCAAGGAAUCCCGACUCAUUUAACGCAUUCUAGAAUCCUUAGACUCGAGGUCUAGGAUUCCUUACCUUCCUUCACGAUGUUCGGUCGAUCCGACCCUUCUUCUUCCUUGCCGGCCACAGUCCGCCUACCGAUUUCCUCCGAUGAUUUAUUCUCCCGAAAGGGAGAGAGUUUAAUGGUGAGUUUCCGGUAUUUUCCGUGUGUUCUGCUGCCUCUAAAGGUCUUGGGCGCCCUCCCUUAUAUAAGGAGCGAAUUGAUGCUUCCCGAAGGAUCACCUCCGUUCCUUGCACCUUUCCGAAGAGUUGCAUCUCUCGGUCCGUAACUGCUCGCCCUUAUCCACCCUUUGGGCGAGCACCCGUUCGACCGUAACCGCCCAAGUAACCGUCCGGGUAACCGCCCAGCUGGUCAGACAGUCGACCAGCUGCCUCGAGCUCAACCGUCACUCGCCCAGCUGCUCGAGCUGGACUGUCACUCAACCCGAGUAACCGUCACUCCUUCCAGCUGAGCUUGAGCUUCGGACGAGCUGACCCAGCUGAUUCCUUUACGAUCCUAGCUUAGCCCGCAUGAUUUCCCUUUGUCCGAGCUUAUGGCCAACUCCUUCCCACUUGUCCGAGACUCCACCUUCUUUUCUCGGACCAAGUCCCAGCCAACGAUCCUAUUGAGGAUCGCGGGCGUUACAAGUCUCCCCUUUGAAUUGGAUUCGACAAAUCGAAUCCAAGUUGAUCUUUACCCAUCUCCUUGAACCACUCCGGAAAAUUGGCCUUCAUCUUAGUCUCGGUUUCCCAAGUGUAUUCUUCACGGCCUCCACAAUUCCACAAGAUUUUUAACAAAUCCAUUGAUUUCCCCCGAGUCCCUUUCUUCAUUUGGUCCAUGAUCCGUACCGGCCAUGCUUCCACCGUCAUGUUCUCCUUUAACCCAGGAGGUACAUCUUCCAUGCUUUCUUCUUGUUCACUUAAGCACUUCCGUAGUUGUGAUACAUGAAAGACAUUGUGAAACGCGUCUAGUUUUGGAGGAAGGUCAAGUUUGUAUGCCACCGCCCCUACUCGUUCGAUCACUUUGUACGGGCCAACGUACCUUGGCCUUAACUUUUUCCUUGAUGUGAAUCGCCCUGCCCCUUUGUAGGUCAUCGCCUUUAAAUACACCAAGUCUCCCACUUGGAAUUCUAAUUCCUUUCGACGCUUGUUGGCGUAACUUUUCUGACGAUCUUGGGCUUCCUUUAACUUGAUUUUUAAGAACUUCAUUUUCUUCGUGGUUUCAUCCACGACCGCAGGUCCGAACAACCGACGUUCGCCCACUGGCGUCCAACACAACGGUGUUCUACCAGCUCGGCCAUACAACGCCUCAUAGGGAGACAUACCAAUACUAGCUUGAAAACUGUUAUUGUACGCAAAUUCUACUAACCUUAGAUAUUUCUCCCAGUUUCCUCCCCAAUCCAAGACGCAUGCCCUCAACAUGUCCUCGAGGGUUUGAAUCGUUCGUUCGGACUGUCCGUCCGUCUGUGGGUGAUAUGCAGUACUUAGAUUCACUCGAGUCCCUAAGACCUUUUGAAAAGGCUUCCAAAAUUUUGACGUGAACCUUGUGUCUCGGUCCGACACUAUACUAACCGGAAUCCCAUGUAAUCGCACGAUCUCGUCUAUGUACUUCUCGGCAAUGAUUUCGGCUGCAUCCUUAUCCGAGAUUGCCAUGAAGUGCGCAGACUUAGUCAAUCGGUCUACUACAACCCAUACCGCAUUGUGUUUGGACUUGAUCCCCGUCGGCAGUCCCGUGACGAAGUCCAUCAUUAUAUGGUCCCACUUCCAUUCCGGUAUAGGUAGGUUUUGUAACAUUCCACUUGGUACUUGAUGCUCUUCCUUGGCUACCCACCUGGCCACAUCUUUCUUCAUUCCUACCCAAUGGUAGUAUCUUUUAAGGUCGCGAUACAUCUUGUUCGACCCAGGAUGGAUCGAGAACUUCGAUUGAUGCGCUUCUUUUAGGAUUUCCUCCUUCAACGCCUUAUCGUUCGGCCCACAUACUCGACCGUUCACCACGAUAGUACCAUUGUUCGAGCUUUGGUACUCGGUUUUAUUGUUUUGUGCCCACCCUUUUAUUUCUUCAUCUCGUUCUUGAGCCGACCGGAUCCUACUAAGUAGGUCGGCUUGAUUGGCGGCUCUCAACCCUAAGGGUUCAACUUCCUUAGACAAAGCAUUCAAAUGCAAUGUCCCCAUCAUGUUAACCAAAUUCACUUGGUUCCUUUCCGCUUCCACUACCGUGCGCAGCCUGCUCAAAGCAUCUACAACUUGGUUGGCCUUGCCCGGAUGGUACGCUAUGUUCAAGUCGUAAUCCGCCACAAGUUUUAUCCACCUUCUUUGCCUUAGAUUUAACUCCGGCUGGGUGAAUAUGUAUUUUAGGCUCUUGUGGUCAGUAAAGAUUUGAACCUUGGCACCAUACAAAUAUGAUCGCCAAAUCUUCAACGCAAAUACUACCGCGGCCAUUUCCAAAUCAUUCGUAGGGUAGUUCUUCUCGUGUUUCCGCAAUUGCCUCGAGGCGUAUGCGAUAACACUCCCCUUUUGGAUCAAUACGCAUCCUAGUCCUACUAUGGAUGCGUCCGUGUAGACCGUAUAGGGCUCACCUUCCUCCGGUAAGACCAACACCGGUGCAUUAGUCAACAUGGCCUUUAACUCCAGGAAGCUUCUCUCGCAUUCCUCCGACCAGUUGAAUGCGGUGUCUUUUCCGGUCAAUUGAGUCAUGGGUUGGGCCAUGCUCGCAAAUCUCUCGACCCAAGUCACUAAGUGAAUGGACCCUAACCAUUUAUGAGGUUCAUUCCCUAGUGUAAUCCGUUUCAUACGAUUCUGUGAUUCAAUAUAUGAGACGAAUAGAGUAAACAAACAAUCAGAUACUUUAUUAAUUAAGUAAAGGAUUCGAUACAACUUAUGAGUUUGCAUAUAAGCUAUUACAAGUAAUAUAAUUGAUCCCUAGACUAUCCGAAACUAUCACCACCCAUCAUCCCGGCCUUGAGUCUCUCGCGCCUAAGCCAAGUCCUUCCCACGAUCACCAUUGGUUCCUGAAAGUCAUAGAGCCAUAAGUAAUCUCAUUUACUUAGUCAUAUGCAAGUCCAUGCAAUGCUCCAUAGUCCUUACACUACUCGGAUCCGCGGAGAGGAUUUGGAGAGGGGAAGAUCGCGCAUAAGUCCAGCCGAUUCUCGGUAGGUCAAUUAAGACCCUCCGGUCCUCCACCGAGCCGCGUCCCCGCCCUAGCCGAUCCCUUGCCCGGACUGAGUCUUGUGUAGGUUGCACAUGACCCGAUUCUACCCAGCCCAUUAGUCGUUCCUUUCAAGGAAUCUCGACUCAAUUAACGUAUUCUAGAAUCCUUAGACUCGAGGUCUAGGUUUCCCUUACCUUCCUUCACGAUGUUCGGUCGAUCCGACCCUUCUUCUUCCUUGCCGGUCACAGUCCGACUACCGAUUUCCUCCGACGAUUUAUUCUCCCGAAAGGACGAGAGUUUAAUAGUGAGUUUCCGGUAUUUUCUGUGUGUUCUGGUGCCUCUAAAGGUCUUGGGCACCCUCCCUUAUAUAAGGGGCGAAUUGAUGCUUCCCGAAGGAUCACCUCCGUUCCUUGCACCUUUCCGAAGAGUUGCAUCUCUCGGUCCGUAACUGCUCGCCCUUAUCCACCCUUUGGGCGAGCACCCGUUCGACCGUAACCGCCCAAGUAACCGUCCGGGUAACCGCCCAGCUGGUCAGACAGUCGACCAGCUGCCUCGAGCUCAACCGUCACUCGCCCAGCUGCUCGAGGUGGACUGUCACUCAACCCGAGUAACCGUCACCCCUUCCAGCUGAGCUUGAGCUUCGGACGAGCUGACCCAGCUGAUUCCUUUACGAUCCUAGCUUAGCCCGCAUGAUUUCCCUUUGUCCGAGCUUAUGGCCAACUCCUUCCCACUUGUCCGAGACUCCACCUUCUUUUCUCAGACCAAGUCCCAGCCAACAAUCCUAUUGAGGAUCGCGGGCGUUACAGAUAACCUGCCCUACAGGCCAAAUGUUUGUGGUUAAGGUUUUCCCAGAAACGAUGACGAGUAUACUCAAUGUUUUCAUAUAAUGGUAUAUAAGAAGAGUGAUCUUCCACACUGGCAUCACUCAUCGCCACGUUGACACCUCUACAUUCUGUAAAGUCGACGAGCUUAAGAAUUGUCAGUCUGAAAAUGUUUGGCGAGAUGUUUUUCAACCUCUUGCAACAAUACAUCAUAAGUACAGUGAGCCACGAGAAAUUUUCAAUGCAGCAGGGAACUUCUUCAAUAGCGGUGUUUUCCAGAUAGAGCCAUUUGAUACUCUUUGAAAUCAGAGGAAAAGUUCUCAAACUUGAGCAACCACUCAGAUCAAGCAUUUUAAGAGAUGACAAGUUGACAUCGGUUGGAAGAACCUCCAGCCCUGUGCAUUCUUUCAUUUCCAACCUCACCAAUUUUUGGAGAUUCCCAAUUGUAGAAGGAACUGUCACCAAACUUUUGCAAUUAGAGAGAUAUAAAUUCACCAGAUUAGUGGCCUUUGAAAGAUCUGGAAUUUCUGUCAGGUUUCCACAUUCUGACAUAUCCAUCUCCACGAGACUUGCAAGCGACUGAAACAGAAAUUAAAAAAAAAAAUUGUUAUGCUUCAAUCACUUUCAUUUUAAUUUAAUAACUAUACACAUUUAAACAAAAUUAUAAUCAAGACAUAAUUCUGUAUGUAAAUAUAAACCGUGGAAUCACAAGCCAUUUUGACAACUUUAAUUUGGUUAUACGUAAUUAUUUACAACAGAGGUUAAACAAAAAUCAGCAAAUGCUAUAAUAUUAACAAUGUACCUGGACGCCUUCCCAUAGCUUCUCAAGCAUUUGGUUGCCUCUCACUAUGAGACGAACCAGAUCAUUUGGGCGAAAUUCACAUGGCAUACAUCUCACAAGGCAGGCGAGAUAAUCAAGACCAGGGAGAUUCUUGUUCCAUAUACAAUUUUCUACGCGGAUCUCAAUUCCAUGUGGCGAAGUAGUUGAAGUUUCCAUUUUAAACACAGGGAAAUUUUUCUCAAAUUAUCGUAAUAAAGGAGACCGAGGUACUCAAGAGAUUCCAAGUUGAGAUGAGUUGGAAAACUCUCUAGCUUUGUGCAACCCCUCAUAUCUAAAUAGAUCAGUUUAAUGGCAUUCUGAAUCGAGGAAGAAAGUGUCACCAAAGAUCUGCAUUCCGAAAGAUUUAAUUCCUCGAGGUUUCUGGCAUUAGAAAGAUCUGAAAUUUCUCUCAAAUAUCUGGAACCAUGCAUAUUCAUCCUCUUGAGGCUUCCAAGUGGCUGAAAACAAAAUAGGGAAAAACAUAAUACACACAUUCAUAAACAUUUCAAAUAGAUUAAUUUUUACCACAGGUCUGUUCUAAAAAUUGACAACUAUUUCAAUGAAGAAUUAAGUACCACAGUUCCUUCCCACAGCUUCUCAAGCUUACUUCCCAUCAUUGUGAGUUGAAUGAGGUAAUCCGCCUUAAAACUAUAAGGCAAACAUUUCAAUGGACACCUAUCCCAGUCUAGCAAUCUGAGUUUAGGGGGCAAAUAAACGAGGCUCUGAGGUAGAUCCAUAUAAUCCCCAGUAACUGAUAGACAUUGGAGAUUACGCAUGCCUUGGAACGAUUUUUCAUCUAUUGGUAAUAGCUCUUUUGAUCGGAAAGCUGUGCAGAAACGUAUUCCAAGAACUGUUUCUGUCCCCUGAAAAAAAUACGAAGUAAACUAGUAUAAUGAUAUAAUCUUUACAAUGGCAACCGUUUUUAUUUUUCUGAGACAUCAAAAGAGCUAGCCACGUUUUAAUUAAGCAGGAGAGGCAACAAUUGUUAAAGUUUAUCAAUCCCCAAAUGACGAUUAAAUUAAUAUAAAGUCAUGCAUUAAAAGGCAUCUGCUAAAAACUUACAGUUUUCUCUGUCAAUACUUCUCAGAGUAUCCUCAAAAUCCGUUAGAAAUCGACGUUUUCCAGGAUUACCCUUGGACUUUGCACGAUCAAUUUCUAUACCCAAUUUCUCUAGCAAAUUGUGCAUCUCUAUAUCUCCAUCCGGUGUAAUACGUAUGAGGGACUUCUCAACCAACAUUGUAACCCCAACAUUAUCUUCAAGUAAAUCGUUGACGUAACUGACUUCAAAACCAUUGAAUAAACACGCGAUGUAAAGGAACAUAUCUUGAUCUUUUUGAUGUAAUCUAUCGUAGCUGACUCUUAAUGUUUUCAUAAUAUCUCCGUUCAAACCAUUUCGGAACCUAGGCAUCAUCUCCAUCCACUCUUCUUUGGUCCUUCGUUUUAAAGACGAACCAAGGACACUGAGACCCAAAGGAAGAUUACCGGCAAGCACUGCAACUUCAAAUGCUAGUGCCUUAAAAUCAUCAGGUGGAGAGUUUUCCCCAAAAGCAGAUCGGCAUAACAUCUUAAGAGCAAGAUCUAGAGAUGGGAACUUCACCUCAUAUAAAAGGUCAAUAUCAUGAGCCUUAAGAAGUUGCAUAUCUUGAGUGAUCACAAUAAUUCUGCUUCCAGGUCCAAACCAUUUAGUUUCCCCCACCAAGGUCUUAAGAAACUCUGGAUCAUCCACAUCAUCAAGAACGAUAAGAACUUUCUUCUGAUUUAACAUUUGCUCCACUACACCUAACUUCCCUCCUAUCUUUAUAUCCUUACCAAGAAUUUUUGACAGAAAUAUUUCUUCCCAUUCAGACUUCAUGCUAUAGACGUGAGGUACGAAAGCGUGAAAGUGGAAUUGGCAAAAGAGUUGACUGUAUAGAGCUUUUCCUAUGGUACUCUUACCAAUCCCUGAAGGCCCCCAAAUCCCAACCAUUCUAGCUUCCUUGGAUUCCAAGCACAAUAUUGAAUUCAUUGCCUCUAAAUGAGCUUCAAUUCCGACGAAAUCGCCAAAAGAAUUCGAUGGUGAAAUAAGCUUAUUCGAAACAUCAUUAGCUAUCUUUACAACCAUGGCUGCUUCACUAGGCCUAAUAACAGUAGUCAAAUUGUGUCAAUAAAGAGGCACCCCUAAAGCACACAAUCCAAAAAAAGAAGAAGCAGAUAGCAUAGUUCAGAGAUAAUUAAAAACACACUCAGAGAUAAUGAAAUCAAAAACAAAGUACCCGUUUCGAAGAUCUUCUCCGGCUAUAUUUGUUAUGUCUACUAGAGCUUGCAUCCAUCUUUGUUUCUGAUCCUCUUCUUUGUCCUCGCAUGUCUUUUUAAAAACAUCGCCAAAUUCGCCGGUCUGUUUUCUAACUUCCGAAGGAUCAACGUCGUAAAAAACUGAAAUCACCAAUUGACCCCAAUCAUUUAAGCGAUUGUGGAUCUCAACCAAUUCAUCCAAGCACCAAGUGGAAGAAGCAUAGUUCUUAGAGAAGAUCACGAUUGAGAUCCUUGCUUCUCUAAUCGCUGAUAUUAGCUCAGGGGCUAUUGUACGGCUUCGUUCGAUGCCAUGAUCCAUGAAUGUAUUGAUUGAUCUGCGGUCGAACGCCUCGAGUAGAUUGCUGAGGAACGUCUUGCGAACAUCUACCCCACUGAAGCUUGGGAAAACAUCGUAUCUCCGGCUGCAAGAAGAAGAAGCCGCCGCCAUGGAAUAUGAUGAGGAGAAGAUAAGUACAGUAAAUCGAAUACACAGUGAUUAUUGAUUAGAGUGAUUACUGUGAGGCCGGUCCUUAAGGGUGGGAUGCGCAAGGAAACUUCUUAUUUUUUGCCCAUAGGCCAUAAAUAUAAAAAUGUAGCGAAAUGUUUGUAAUGAGGUUCGAACCAAGGCCAAUGAAGCAUUUAAAACCUGAUUUCAAGUAUUCAACCGCUCAACUACAAGUUAUGAUGCCUCUUAAAUCAAUAUUAGAUUUAUUUUGGUGUCCAAGGUCUUUGCUUAUUGUAAAAAGGACAGCUUAUCGUAAACAUGUUGAGUGGGGAAUUCAGUCUUUGUUUCCCUAUACUUACAUGCAUAGAAACUAGGAGAAUUUGUAAGUAUAUCAAUUAUGAGGAUUUUAAUUCACAUAAUAAUAUAGUGAAAACAUUAACUAUCUAGUUUGUUAAAAAAAAAACUCUUUUAGCUUUCUAGAGUUGUGUGGUGUGGUGUGGAUGGACAGUGGAGUGAAGAUUUCUAGAAACUCUCUGCGUUUUGUGUUGAGUUCUCCUCAUUUUCUCAACUCCAUCCCCUUCAAGUACCUUGACACGUACAAUUCCUGAAACAACAACACAAAAAUCUAUGUGAAUUCAGCUCUCACGAUCAUCUAUCAAAUCACUUUAUCAGUAAUUUACAUUUUAAAGUUAUAUCAUGUUCUGGACUAACAAUGAAAACCAUUUUAUGUGAUAUUUGAAUCCAUAUGCUGGUGGCAAAGAAGAACAGAGCAUUUGUAUUAUGUCACACAAAUUCAGCAAUCAAGUGAAUGGAGAGUUUAUAAGGGAUGUAAGAUGAGAUUUUACCUCAGGCAAAGAGGUUUCACGAUUGCAGCUUGGCUACUUCCCAUAAGUCUUCACUGCCUCGUAGUUACUCAAUGUCCUUUAUGUUCCUAGGAAUCACAAGGUCGUUGUAAGACGGCAAGAACGAAAAAAGAGUGGAAUCGACUGAUGGUGUAUUAUAUUUUUAUUUAUUAUUAUUAGGUCAUUGGUGCAAAUAUCUGAAGCAAACCUGCACAAACCAAUUCAGCUAAAAUAAGCACCAGAGAAAUUAGCUUUCACAUCCUAAAUGUGACAAUGACUAGCUCACUUGACCUCAGGGUCGUGAUUGAGUUUGGUGGUUGUGGCCGGUGAGUAGGACGGGUGGAAGCUGGUUUUGUAUGUAUGGGGCAGUGGUGGUGCUGAGUUAUGUUGUAAUCACUGUUUUUUACUGUGAGUGUAGGAAACGCCAUGGUAGCAGUGAUGCAUUUAAUGCUGAUGAGGUUGCUAUUUAAAAAUUUAGUUCCAACACUUUUUUGUUGUUGAUAAUUCUCUUGUGAAAUACAUUUUUCUUUACCGAAUUUAUUCAUUGAUUUAAAGAGAGAAAAAUAACCUUUGGUAACAUACACGUAGAGAGAUAUGUGUGUUUCAAAAGACAAGACUGUUAUAUUUACAUCUUUUCAGGAAAGCGAAUUUUUCAAAGAAGCAAAACAGAGAGAAGUAAGAACAGAGUGGUUCUGCUGUUCUGGACAUGGAACCAUAAAAGUUUUCUAGUUGUCAGUGCUCCAUCAUCUGCAGGAGAAAAUGGCUUGUGUGAAAAACUAAGAAAUCGUCUUGUCAUUACCAGUAUAGUCAUGGUCGAUCCCAUGUUCAUUAUAAAACAGAGUUGUAAUACGUUUCAGGUUACCUUAACAAUGUGAUAAGCUGUAGAGACGGCUAAGGAUCCAGGAAAGGAAUCUUAACAAUGUGAUGGUGUGAAUUCAGUCAAGGCAGAUCUUAACUGUUCAGGGUCAGCAGUGAAAGGUGUCGUCCCCAUCAGACCAUACGUUUUAUUUAGGCCCUUGAUGCAAAGAUCUGAAGCAAACCAAUUCAGUCAAGAACAGCCCCAGAGAAUGAGCUUCCCAUCCUAGAUGUUCUAGUGAGUAGUUCAGGCCUACAACUUUCACUCUUCUCGAUAUAAUUAAAGAGUGCAGCGGCAUAGGGGAACAGCAGCGACAUAUUUUCUCAUCGACGUAGGAUAGCUGGAUGAUACUUCAUGGUUUGGAAGUGGACCAGACAAUGUCUCCUGUAGAAAGUUUAAAAGCUCUUUCCUUCACCCGAAGGAUUGUUCCUUAUGCUGGUUACAUCUUUGGCCGAAGUUAGGCCAAAAACGCUUCUGCCUUUUGGCUAUUGAAUCAGCGGAUAUGCAAAUGUUGCUGAUUCUUGUUGUUUUCUGUACCCAAAGUCUGAUUUAUUCAUUGCUAAUAAAGAGAAAAACAACCUUUACUAACAUAAACAUUGAGAUCUAUGUUUUAAAAAGGCAAGACUAUUUUGGGUAGUACCUGCACUCAAGCAGGUACGCUCCCAAAUUCAAUGUCUUUCUUAAAAAUAGAAUAUGUUUUUACAAAACAAAACAAUGCCAAAGAUGUUUUUCCAGAAUAUGCUAAAGUAUGGCUUUCUGAAACAUUUAUUCUUUCAGGAAAAGUGAAAUGUUCAAAACAAACGCAGAGCUGGAUAAUGUAACGGACUUUGGUUCUCCUAAAGAUCUUCAUCAUCUGCAGUUAAUUAUCAUUAUCAUUAUAGUCAUAGUCGAUCCCAAGUUAUCCUAAAACAGAGUAAAACAGAAUGAUAAGAUGCUUCAGUUACCAGAAUCAGUAGACAAGAUAGGAAUUUCUUCAUCUUGUUCUUCAGUUAUCAUGUAAUCAACACACAAAGCUUCCCCCUCUAGAGAUGUUGAUGAUGAUGCUUCUCCCUGCCCUAACGAAAGCUCCAUAUUUAGAGCGGCCAAUCCUGAGUCCGCUACAAUUUGGCCAUAGGGUAAGUUGAUAUAUUCUUCAGAUGUCCCCGAUGUCAUCUGCAUUAUAAAUCAAACGAUCGAUUCUAUUAAAUAGUCUGUCCCUAUGGUGUUUCGAUCCUGAAAAAUCAAACCAAAAGUCAAAAGAUAGCUUUAUAAUUUUCAGCUCUAAUCAAAAGUCAAAAGAUACCCCCAUCCGCUUCUCGCUUCUCGUAGUCUGUUGGUUGUACUCUGUUUCUUGAUAGACAUACAAGAGUCGUACACCGCAUUCUUUGAUCCUAUUGGAGCAACAAAAUUUAAACUCCAUUCAGACCAGAUCUUGAAGGAACAGAAAAACAGAUGAUCCGUCUUACAAAACUGCAGGUCUGCAUCUUCAAAAAAUGAUUUCUGAUACUGUUUGCCAUUGAAGCCAACAUUUACCUUCAAGGAUGGAUAAAAACCCUUGCCCUCGGAGGGAGGUUCAACCACGACGCAAGCCUUAAAUGGAAAGAAGUAUUGAGAAAGAGAGCUCUGAGGUAAAGUGACAGUUAGGGAAUCUCCAUAAGCUCGAUACGUGAAAUACUUAGGGAUUUCUCCACCUGGUAAGGCCACAUGCUUGAAGCAUGAUCGUAGGAUAAGUUCUCGCGCAUCUCUUUCCAAUUUGAAGCAAUUGCAGAAGCUAAAGGAUUCCCUACGUAAGCGCCAAUCUACGACGUAGUUCUUAUAAUCAUCAUCAUACAACGCAUCCCAGAAACGUUCACAUGUAUAUUCAAUGUUUUCAGAUAAUGGUACACAAGAAACGUGAUCUUCCAUUGUCGCUACCACAGUUGCAUCACUCAACGCCUUGAUGACACCUCUACAGUCUGUAAAGUCGGCGAACAUUAGACUUCUCAGUCUGAAAAUGUUUGGGGAGAUGUUUUUCAACCUCUGGCAACAAUACAUCAGUAGUACACGGAGCCUCGUGAAAUCCUCAAUGCAGCAGGGAACUUCUCCAAUGGCGGUGUUUUCCAGAUAGAGCCAUACAAUAUUAGUUGAAAUCAGAGGAAAAGUUCUCAAACUUGAGCAACCACUGAGAUCGAGGAUACCCAGAGAUGACAAGUUGACAUCGGUUGGAAGAACCUCCAGCCCUGUGCAUCUUUUCAUGUACAAACGUCUCAAAUUUUGAAGAUUCCCAAUUGUAGAAGGAAGUGUCACCAAACUUUUGCAGUUGUUGAGUAUCAAAGACUCGAGCUUGGUGGCCUUUGAAAGAUCUAGAAUUUCUUCAAUGGCGGUGUUUUCCAGAUAGAGCCAUUUGAUACUCUUUGAAAUCAGAGGAAAAGUUCUCAAACUUGAGCAACCACUGAGAUCGAGGGUUUCGAGAGAUGACAAGUUGACAUCGGUUGGAAGAACCUCCAGCCCUGUGCAUUCUUUCAUUUCCAACCUCACCAAUUUUUGGAGAUUCCCAAUAGUAGAAGGAAGUGUCACCAAACUUUUGCAGUUGUUGAGAUAUAAAUGCUUCAGAUUGGUGGCCUUUGAAAGAUCUGGAAUUUCUGUCAGGUUUUCAGAUUCUGACAGAUCCAUCUCUUCGAGACUUCCAAGCGACUGAAAAAAACAUUAUCGAUGAUAAUCAUUUUAAUUUUAUACCUAUAUAUGUUUAAAAUUAUAAUUAAACAUUAUUACGUAUGUAUGUAAGACAUAACCGUGGAUCGACCACAAGCCAUAAAAACAAAUUUGGGUAUACUUAAUUAGUUAUAUAACAGAAGGUAAACAAAAAUCAGCAUAGCAUUAACAAUGUACCUGGAUGCCUUCCCAUAGCUUCUCAUGCUUGUAGCACCUCACAUUGAGAAAAACGAGAUAUUCUGGGCGAAAUUCACAAGGCAUACAUCUCAUAAGGCAGUCGAGAUAAUCUAGUCCAGCAGGGAGAUUCUUGUUCCAGAAACAAUCUUCUACCACGAUCUCAUUUCUCCCUUCCGGAAAGUCAACGUCUGAACAUCCCAUUUUGAUUGCUGGGAAAUUUCUCAAAUUCGGGCAUCCAGUGAGAUUGAGGUACUCGAGAGAUUCCAAGUUGAGAUCGGUUGGAAAACUCUCUAGCUUUUUGCAAUCACUAAUAUCUAAAUAGAUAAGUUUAAUGGCAUUCUGCAUCGAGGAAGGAAAUGUCACCAAGGAUUCGCAUUUACAAAUAUCUACUUCCUCGAGGUUUAUGGCUAAAGAAAGAUCUGGAAUCUCUUUCAAAUAUUUGGAACCACGCAGAAACAUCUGCUUGAGUCUUCCAAGUGGCUAAUAACAAAAUAGGGGAAAAGAGAGUACACACGUUAGUGAACAUUUUAAACAGAUUCAUUUUAGUUUUUCUAACAGAUUUAUGUUUAGAAAUUGAUCACUAAUAGAAUUAGUACCUGAGUUCCAUCCCACAGCUUCUCAAGGUCACUAUUCUCCAUUCUGAGUUUAACCAGAUACUCAACCUUAAAAUUAGAAUGCAAACGCUUCAAUGGACAAUUAUUCCACAAUAGCAAUCUGAGUUUACUAGGGAAAUAAACGAUGCCCUGAGUGCCUUCCAUACGUGAGCAAUCAACUGAUAGAUAUUCGAGAUUACACAUGCCUUCUAAUGAUUUUAAAUCUAUUAAUAGCACCCCCGAACAAUAUAACGUCCUCAGUUUAAUGGCAUUCUGAAUCGAGGAAGGAAGUGUCACCAAAGAUUCGCAUUCAGAAAGAUUUAAUUCCUCGAGGUUUAUGGCUAAAGAAAGAUCUGGAAUUUCUUUAAAAUAUUUGGAAUACCACAAAUUCAUCUUCUUGAGACUUCCAAGGGGCUGAAAACAACAUAUGGAAAAAGAGAAUACACACGUUCACAAUUUUUUUAAAACAGAUUCAUUUGAAGCUUUUCUAACAUAUAUAUGUUCAUAAAUAUACCACAGUUCUAUUCUAAAAACUGACAACUAAUAAAAUUUAUAAUUCGUACCAG